AGCGAACGCUGGCGGCGUGCUUAACACAUGCAAGUCGAGUGCGUAGUCUCUUGUAGCAAUACAGGGGAUGGGCGCACGGCGCACGGGUGAGUAACACGUGGGUAACCUGCCCUUCGGUGGGGAAUAACCCGCGAAAGCGGGGCUAAUUCCGCAUAACAUUCCGGGGACACAUGUUCUCGGACUCAAAGGAGUGAUUCGCCGGAGGAGGGGCCCGCGCCCGAUUAGCUUGUUGGUAGGGAACGGCCUACCAAGGCGACGAUCGGUAGCCGGUCUGAGAGGGCGACCGGCCACACUGGGACUGAGACACGGCCCAGACNCCUACGGGAGGCAGCAGUGGGGAAUCUUGCGCAAUGGGCGAAAGCCUGACGCAGCGACGCCGCGUGAGGGAUGACGGCCU
This 397-nucleotide ribosomal RNA is filed under the name uncultured bacterium. Its description in RNAcentral is "bacterial SSU rRNA". It matches the Rfam family "Bacterial small subunit ribosomal RNA", at positions 28 to 417 of the family's 1533-position model. The record is from RNAcentral.